UGAUCUCAUCAAUCUAGCGGGAGAGACAGGAUAACCUGUCCGAGAGUAUAGCGCCACUAUGACUCCGCCGGAAAAAUUACUUUAAAAAUCGCCAAAAAUUACUUGGAGCAAAGGGCAGUCGGCGGAGCUUCGCCAAAGCUGGCGCAGUCGGUUUUGACCUGUAGCAGAGAACCAAUUCUGGAGAACAGCCUCACUUCUUUGAUUGAAUACUCACAUAAUGCAUUGGAACAUGACAUGAGAUUAAGUGUGUAAAGCCAAAUGUCCCGUUUAAAGUUUGACAUUUGCAAUAGCAUUCUAUUUAAAAGGUUUAAUAAUGAUAGAAUGAAGACCAUAAUAAAAGAGACCUCUACUUAGCAAUUCUUACCUUUCUUACCUAUUUGAUGAAGAUGUCUUUUGAAAGGUGUACUGCAAGGAACAAAAUGUUUGUAAAUUCUGCUUUUACCAAGGUGGAUAAUUACUGUACCUUCCUCAUGGAAAAAGUUUUAUUUAAAGUGUUAUUUCUCAUUGAAUACUAUCAAAAAGGAAAAAAAAUGACAUAAACUUUUGAGAUAGAUUUGGCUCUAGUAAGUAUUUAGAUAUAUCACUUGCAUAUCUGGGAGAAGAAAUAAGAGACUAUCAUCAAUACAUUCCCAUCUACUAAAAAAUUUUCUUUUACACAUGUCAAGGGAUUACUUAUAACUUCCAUUUUAUUACUAAUAG
RNAcentral lists this non-coding RNA (699 nucleotides) under Pongo abelii (Sumatran orangutan). Lineage: Eukaryota; Metazoa; Chordata; Mammalia; Primates; Hominidae. The record is from RNAcentral.